GUGUGUGUGUGUGUGUGUUGUGUGUGUGUGUGUGUGUGUGUGUGUGUGUGUGUGUGUGUGUGUGUGUGUGUUGGGAGAGUGAUGUUGGGACAUUCAAAAGCUGCCUUGGUUAUUGCUGUCUCAGCAUUACACAGGACAACAAGGAACUUGAAGGGGAAGGUGUCU
Molecule: long non-coding RNA, 165 nt
Organism: Etheostoma spectabile (orangethroat darter)
Lineage: Eukaryota; Metazoa; Chordata; Actinopteri; Perciformes; Percidae
Exons: 2
Source: RefSeq, a predicted model, not a curated record